This 478-nucleotide ribosomal RNA is filed under the name uncultured bacterium. Its description in RNAcentral is "partial 16S ribosomal RNA". It matches the Rfam family "Bacterial small subunit ribosomal RNA", at positions 28 to 523 of the family's 1533-position model. The record is from RNAcentral.
GACGAACGCUGGCGGCGUGCUUAACACAUGCAAGUCGAACGGUAAGGCCCUUCGGGGUACACGAGUGGCGAACGGGUGAGUAACACGUGGGUGAUCUGCCCUGCACUUCGGGAUAAGCCUGGGAAACUGGGUCUAAUACCGGAUAGGACCACUGCCUGCAUGGGGGGUGGUGGAAAGCUUUUGCGGUGUGGGAUGGGCCCGCGGCCUAUCAGCUUGUUGGUGGGGUAAUGGCCUACCAAGGCGACGACGGGUAGCCGGCCUGAGAGGGUGACCGGCCACACUGGGACUGGGAUACGGCCCAGACUCCUACGGGAGGCAGCAGUGGGGAAUAUUGCACAAUGGGCGCAAGCCUGAUGCAGCGACGCCGCGUGAGGGAUGACGGCCUUCGGGUUGUAAACCUCUUUCAGUAGGGACGAAGCGCAAGUGACGGUACCUACAGAAGAAGGACCGGCCAACUACGUGCCAGCCGCCGCAGUAA